UUCCUCAUUUUUUAUUUUUUGAAUAAACACUCAAUAAUAGCAUAGACAUAGCCAUGCAGAAAUGCACAUGCACUCCUGUAGGCAAUCACAUCUGUCUCCCACAAUCUCAUUCAAUAAUAGAACCAAUAAUAAUACAUAGCCUGCACUGAUAUCAACUUUUAUCUUCAACAUAAUAUAUAAAGAGGAAUUGGAGAGACUUUGGAGAGGCAGAGAGCAAAAGAGAAAAAUAUAAACAGUCAUUAAGAAAAAAAAAUUAAGUGUUCAAUCAUCAGAUCUUCUCUUCGUAAAAGAAUGGGUCCAAAGCUUGGUAUAGGUUGAGAUUUCGGCGAUAUGGUUGGUGACAAUAGAAAGAAAAUCAAGUGCAAAUUUUUUCAUGUAGUUACUACAAGAGGAAUAACAAGAUUAAAACAACAUAUCACACAUAUAUCUGGAGAAGUAGAGGCACGUAAAAAGGCUCCGAAAGAAAUUUCGGUAAUGUUGCGAAAACAUCUUCAAGAAAGUAAAACUGCCAGAGAAAUAAUGAAAAAAAUAAAAGAAACAACUAUAAUGUCCAUUAGAGAAGAACGUAGGCACAUUCACAACGUCGAUACUGAAAGUAGCAGCGAGAAUGAUUAUGAACAAGGUUCCCGAUACGCAAAUAGAGAAUAUUUAUCACAAAUGAGGAAGAAGCAAUUACGGAAUGCAAUGAAAGAAAAUCGACAGCAAGCCUUCGAUGAAGAGAAGCGUAUGCGAUACGAUGGCGGUAUGAACUUUAAUAUCCUAGUACAUUGUUAUACUUGUAAAACAUGUCAAUUAAUUAGUAUUAUUUAAUUGUAGGGCAUACUGGUGGUACUUCUCGAGGUCAAACAUCUGGUAUGAAAACAUGAAUAUUCUGUAGGUCUAGCGUAAGAGAAGAACCUAAGAAGUUUUCAAGCGGGGUAGAUCAUUUCAUGUUCCCGUCAAAACAAAAAACUCUCAAACAGUUUUACGCUCCUAAAAAAUUCAAAGCAGUUGGUAAGGCCAUUUCAAAGUGGUUUUUAUUUAAUGAUAUUUCGUUUAAUGCUGCUGAUAGUGGACCUUAUUAUCAAUCUAUGAUAAAUACUAUUGCUGAGGCGGGGACUGAAAUUACGGGGGCGUCAAAUCGGUAGUACUUAUCUAGAUGAAGAAGUUUAUGAAAUUGACGGUUAUAUAUCCACUUUGAAAACAAAAUGGCAAGAAUAUGGUUGUGCAGUUAUGUGUGAUGGGUGGAGUACAAAAAAUAAGCAUCUUAUUAUCAAUUUUAUGAUAUAUUGUGAUCGAUCAAUGAUGUAUCAUAGUUCUGUGGAUUGUACUGAUAAAAUAAAAAACGCAGAUUUUAUUUUGCAUCUUAUAAAUAAAGUCAUUGAUGAGAUAAGAGAGCAAAAUAUUAUACAAGUUGUUACAAACACUGAAGCUUCGAACAAAGCUGCUGGGAAAAGGUUGAUGCUGGAAAGGCCGCAUAUAUUUUGGUCUCCUUGCGUUGUACAUUGCAUCGAUCUGAUGUUGGAAGAUAUCGGUAAGAUGACCAAAAUAAAAAGAUGCAUAGAAAGGCAAAGAAAAUUACAAGUUUUAUUUACAACAGUGACAAAAUUGUAAAUCGUAUAAAAUUGUACACAAAAAAUAUAGAGUUUUAUUC
This is a non-coding RNA of Erythranthe guttata (spotted monkey flower), 1633 nucleotides long. The record is from RefSeq and is a predicted model, not a curated record. NCBI's taxonomy places the organism in Eukaryota, Viridiplantae, Streptophyta, Magnoliopsida, Lamiales, Phrymaceae.